RNAcentral lists this ribosomal RNA (346 nucleotides) under uncultured bacterium. RNAcentral's name for it is "partial 16S ribosomal RNA". It matches the Rfam family "Bacterial small subunit ribosomal RNA", at positions 338 to 695 of the family's 1533-position model. The record is from RNAcentral.
CCUACGGGGGGCAGCAGUCGAGAAUCAUUCACAAUGGGGGAAACCCUGAUGGUGCGACGCCGCGUGGGGGAAUGAAGGUCUUCGGAUUGUAAACCCCUGUCAUGUGGGAGCAAAUUAAAAAGAUAGUACCACAAGAGGAAGAGACGGCUAACUCUGUGCCAGCAGCCGCGGUAAUACAGAGGUCUCAAGCGUUGUUCGGAAUCACUGGGCAUAAAGCGUGCGUAGGCUGUUUCGUAAGUCGUGUGUGAAAGGCGCGGGCUCAACCCGCGGACGGCAAAUGAUACUGCGGGACUAGAGGAAUUGAGGGGGAAACGGAAUUCUCGGGGUAGCAGUGAAAUGCGGAGAU